Molecule: ribosomal RNA, 292 nt
Filed under: uncultured bacterium
Lineage: Bacteria
Description: partial 16S ribosomal RNA
Rfam family: Bacterial small subunit ribosomal RNA
Source: RNAcentral
GUGUCAGCAGCCGCGGUAAUACGGAGGGGGCGAGCGUUAUUCGGAAUUAUUGGGCGUAAAGGGCGCGUAGGCGGCUGUGUAAGUCAAAGGUGAAAUCCCUCGGCUCAACUGAGGAACUGCCUUUGAAACUGCUCAGCUUGAGGCCGGGAGGGGGUGGUGGAAUUCCCAGUGUAGCGGUGAAAUGCGUAGAUAUUGGGAGGAACACCAGUGGCGAAGGCGGCCACCUGGACCGGUUCUGACGCUGAGGCGCGAAAGCGUGGGUAGCAAACAGGAUUAGAAACCCUUGUAGUCC